GUUUAGGGCUAUUCGAAAGGAGUGCGGGUAAUAGGUUAUAACCAGCGCUCCAG
Molecule: ribosomal RNA, 53 nt
Filed under: uncultured bacterium
Lineage: Bacteria
Description: partial 16S rRNA
Source: RNAcentral